This 409-nucleotide ribosomal RNA is filed under the name uncultured bacterium. Its description in RNAcentral is "bacterial SSU rRNA". It matches the Rfam family "Bacterial small subunit ribosomal RNA", at positions 28 to 411 of the family's 1533-position model. The record is from RNAcentral.
GACGAACGCUGGCGGCGUGCUUAACACAUGCAAGUCGAACGGGAGGAAAAGAGAAGCUUGCUUCUUUUUGAAUCUAGUGGCAAACGGGUGAGUAACACGUAAACAACCUGCCUUCAGGAUGGGGACAACAGACGGAAACGACUGCUAAUACCGAAUGUGUUCCGGAGACCGCAUGAUUUCCGGAAGAAAGGAUGGCCUCUAUUUAUAAGCUAUCGCCUGAAGAGGGGUUUGCGUCUGAUUAGGCAGUUGGUGAGGUAACGGCCCACCAAACCUACGAUCAGUAGCCGGUCUGAGAGGAUGAACGGCCACACUGGAACUGAGACACGGUCCAGACUCCUACGGGAGGCAGCAGUGGGGAAUCUUCCGCAAUGGACGAAAGUCUGACGGAGCAACGCCGCGUGAGUGAUGA